AGAGUUUGAUCCUGGCUCAGAACGAACGUUGGCGGCGUGGAUUAGGCAUGCAAGUCGAACGAAUCCCUUGGGGCUUGCUCUAAGGGGGAAGUGGCGAAAGGGGCAGUAAGGCGUGGGUAACCUACCCCGGGGACGGGCAUAGCCGUCCUAACGGACGGGUAAUUCCUGGCGAUCUGAUCGGGGGGCAUCUCCUGGUCAGGAAAUGAAUUUCGCCUCGGGAGGGGCUCACGUAGUAUUAGCUUGUUGGUGAGGUAACGGCUCACCAAGGCGAAGAUGCUUAGCGGGUGUGAGAGCACGACCCGCGCCACUGGCACUGAGACACUGGCCAGACUCCUACGGGAGGCUGCAGUCGAGGAUCUUCGGCAAUGGGCGCAAGCCUGACCGAGCGACGCCGCGUGUGCGAUGAAGGCCUUCGGGUUGUAAAGCACUGUCGAGGGGAAGAAAGCCGCAAGGUUGAUCGACCCCUGGAGGAAGCACGGGCUAAGUUCGUGCCAGCAGCCGCGGUAAGACGAACCGUGCGAACGUUGUUCGGAUUCACUGGGCUUAAAGGGCGCGUAGGCGGGUGGCCAAGUCAGGGGUGAAAUCUUUCGGCUCAACCGGAAAAGUGCCUUUGAUACUGGUCAUCUCGAGGGAGGUAGGGGCAUGUGGAACUUCCGGUGGAGCGGUGAAAUGCGUAGAUAUCGGAAGGAACGCCGGUGGCGAAAGCGACGUGCUGGACCUUUUCUGACGCUGAGGCGCGAAAGCCAGGGGAGCAAACGGGAUUAGAUACCCCGGUAGUCCUGGCCCUAAACGAUGGGUACUGGAUUGUGGACUU
RNAcentral lists this ribosomal RNA (814 nucleotides) under uncultured soil bacterium. RNAcentral describes it as "bacterial SSU rRNA". It matches the Rfam family "Bacterial small subunit ribosomal RNA", at positions 8 to 830 of the family's 1533-position model. The record is from RNAcentral.